Molecule: long non-coding RNA, 155 nt
Organism: Perognathus longimembris pacificus (Pacific pocket mouse)
Lineage: Eukaryota; Metazoa; Chordata; Mammalia; Rodentia; Heteromyidae
Exons: 3
Source: RefSeq, a predicted model, not a curated record
GCCAUCCUGGGCGUGUGUGUGUGUGUGUGUGUGUGUGUGUCUAAGCACACUUUUCAAAUCCAGACAACAGGCUUAAUUCUGUAUAGAUAUUUCCUCUUUAAAAGGAAAAAAGACAGCUUUAGUACAUCUUUUGUUAAUUCAGUAGUAUGCGCUAU